Molecule: long non-coding RNA, 338 nt
Organism: Actinia tenebrosa (Australian red waratah sea anemone)
Lineage: Eukaryota; Metazoa; Cnidaria; Anthozoa; Actiniaria; Actiniidae
Source: RefSeq, a predicted model, not a curated record
CUGUGGUACACGUAAUCCUGCAAAGAGUUUGACUGCUGAGACACCCUAUUGAGAUAUUAUUCAAAUCGCCAUGCUGUCUUCAACGUGUUGAUUCUCUACAAAUCAAGUAUAAUAAGGUACAAAGUGUUCAUAUGUUAUUAGUUAAGUUGUUAAAUUGUGAUUGAAGUUUUAUUAAGCCAUUCUAUACCGAAAAUUACCGAAAAUAAAAGAUCGAACCUUUAGUAUCGAGUCACACGACAAUGAUACUGAGCAUGCUUGUCUUAAAACGAUGGAAAAUAUCUCAGUAGAUCUUUUAGAACUUUAUCAGAAUGUCAAUAAAGGUUGUAUCUUUUACUCCA